Molecule: ribosomal RNA, 193 nt
Filed under: uncultured bacterium
Lineage: Bacteria
Description: partial 16S ribosomal RNA
Rfam family: Bacterial small subunit ribosomal RNA
Source: RNAcentral
CCUACGGGAGGCAGCAGUGGGGAAUUUUGGACAAUGGGGGCAACCCUGAUCCAGCAAUGCCGCGUGUGUGAAGAAGGCCUUCGGGUUGUAAAGCACUUUUGUCCGGAAAGAAAACCUCCGUCCUAAUACGGUGGGGGGAUGACGGUACCGGAAGAAUAAGCACCGGCUAACUACGUGCCAGCAGCCGCGGUAA